GAUAACCGUAGUAAUUCUAGAGCUAAUACAUGUAUAAAGUCUUGUAGACUGCAUUUAUUAGAAUGAAAACCAUAGGUUUCGGCCUAUUCGUGAGUAAUAAUAACUAAUCAUAUCGUAUGCUUAAGUAACGAUGUGUCUUUCAAGUUUCUGCCCUAUCAGCUUUCGAUGGUAGUGUAUUGGACUACCAUGGCAGUAACGGGUAACGAAGA
Molecule: ribosomal RNA, 209 nt
Filed under: Blastocystis sp. subtype 3
Lineage: Eukaryota; Bigyra; Opalinata; Blastocystidae
Description: partial 18S small subunit ribosomal RNA
Rfam family: Eukaryotic small subunit ribosomal RNA
Source: RNAcentral